GGCUGUCACUUAUAGAUGGGCCCGCGGCGCAUUAGCUAGUUGGUGAGGUAAUGGCUCACCAAGGCGACGAUGCGUAGCCGACCUGAGAGGGUGAUCGGCCACACUGGGACUGAGACACGGCCCAGACUCCUACGGGAGGCAGCAGUAGGGAAUCUUCCGCAAUGGACGAAAGUCUGACGGAGCAACGCCGCGUGAACGAAGAAGGCCUUCGGGUCGUAAAGUUCUGUUGUUAGGGAAGAACAAGUACCAGAGUAACUGCUGGUACCUUGACGGUACCUAACCAGAAAGCCACGGCUAACUA
RNAcentral lists this ribosomal RNA (301 nucleotides) under Bacillaceae bacterium BF.79. Its description in RNAcentral is "bacterial SSU rRNA". It matches the Rfam family "Bacterial small subunit ribosomal RNA", at positions 210 to 503 of the family's 1533-position model. Lineage: Bacteria; Bacillati; Bacillota; Bacilli; Caryophanales; Bacillaceae. The record is from RNAcentral.